CUACACAUGCAGUCGACGGCAGCACAGUAAGAGCUUGCUCUUAUGGGUGGCGAGUGGCGGACGGGUGAGGAAUACAUCGGAAUCUACCUUUUCGUGGGGGAUAACGUAGGGAAACUUACGCUAAUACCGCAUACGACCUUCGGGUGAAAGCAGGGGACCUUCGGGCCUUGCGCGGAUAGAUGAGCCGAUGUCGGAUUAGCUAGUUGGCGGGGUAAAGGCCCACCAAGGCGACGAUCCGUAGCUGGUCUGAGAGGAUGAUCAGCCACACUGGAACUGAGACACGGUCCAGACUCCUACGGGAGGCAGCAGUGGGGAAUAUUGGACAAUGGGCGCAAGCCUGAUCCAGCCAUACCGCGUGGGUGAAGAAGGCCUUCGGGUUGUAAAGCCCUUUUGUUGGGAAAGAAAAGCAGUCGGCUAAUACCCGGUUGUUCUGACGGUACCCAAAGAAUAAGCACCGGCUAACUUCGUGCCAGCAGCCGCGAUAAUACGAAGGGUGCAAGCGUUACUCGGAUUACUGGGCGUAACGCGUGCGUAGGUGGUUGUUUAAGUCUGUUGUGA
RNAcentral lists this ribosomal RNA (558 nucleotides) under bacterium tet-w-25. Its description in RNAcentral is "bacterial SSU rRNA". It matches the Rfam family "Bacterial small subunit ribosomal RNA", at positions 49 to 597 of the family's 1533-position model. The record is from RNAcentral.